GAGGUGUGGACCAGGGAACUAGGAAAGCUGUUCAGUACAUGCCUGUGGAGGGCCAGUGUUUCUCUGUGGAGAGAAGGAGGACGAAUUGUUUAGCUCACCUUAAAGGUUCAGGGCAAAGAGACCACUUUUUCAUGUGUGUGUGUGCAGGCGAGGGAAGAGGAAUGGUUCUGGAGCGCUGUGAUUCUUUCUGUCCAAGGCUGGUGCUGUGUGCUGUGCGUGGGUGGAUAGAGAGGGAAGCAGAGCGCAGGAAUGGCAGCAGAGAGCAGAGGGAAGUUAGGGACCUCUGUCCAAGUGAGGAUGACAGGCCCUAACUGAGGAAACAGCCAGAUGCAGUUUUGUGAUUGAAGCAGAAUCUACCUGGGGGCUGAGACAGGGCCCCAAAGGUGAAAGCAGGCUAGGACUGUCCUAUUUGUAGCAGGAUGGCCAGUCAGAAGCUGAGCUUGGGAGGAGAGGCGGGAAGAUUAACCCCUAGCAGUCAGCUACUUCUGCUCAAGAUCAGAGAGGCUAAAAUGGAGGUUCACCUGCUUGCAAAAGAGAGAGUCCAACUUGACAGGCUGCGUAUGGAGACCGAGAUCUGAAAACAGAACCGCCCCCUCCCAACCCACCCAGGGUUUUGGCCCUCUGAUCUCCUGGGCCAGACACCAUGCUGUCUACUCUGCAGAGGGCUCUGGAGAGCUGAGCUGCCAAGCCCACGUUCACACACGUGCUCACGCACAGCGGGGCUCUGUUCAGCCAGCCCUAGAGUAUUUUAAGUACAGAGUGGAGGGGGUGACUGUAUGUGUCGCAUGGUGACUCAUCCUGGCAGCAGAAACUGUGCCGUGUUGAGGAAAAUGGCUCAAUGGCAGGCUCUGUUUGCAGUAGAAAGCAGCCGAGGUGCACAGCUCUGCCAUGGAGGGCAAAGAGGCCUGGAAGAGAAGAGCACCGGGAAAUGCUGGACCUGUCACGUCACAGAGGGGGAUGUGGGUGGAUUCCUGGCUAACGCCUAACACAGGCCUGAACGCCCAAAGUGUCCAUCACCGCGCCCUGUGCCCCACAGAGCAUCAUUCUGUGCUGCACGAUGGACCCUGCGUGUUGAUAGAAAAACAAAUCAUGCUCUGGAAUGGUUCUGGUUUCUUAAAGAAGCCAGAGACCCUGAAUGGGGACAAGUAGAAAUAUCUCUUCAUUGCUUUCACUGAAGUCAUUCUGGCACUUUCCUGUUUCACUGGGUCUGUAAUUGAAUUCUUGUCCUGGGUGAGGAUAUAGUAUGAAAAUACUGAAGAAGGAGCUUUUUUAGCAAGGCCCACUUGGUAAAGUGGACUAUUCCUGCCAUCAGUGGAAGUCACAGGUUACCUGCUAGCCACCUGAGUCAUCAGGCCCUGACUGCAGACUUCCAGAAGUUGCUUUCUGCUCUGCUGUUUCCUAACUUGUAAGUCAGGAAGCUGCCCCAGCCCCAGGUGGAAUGGCGACAUAGCAUUCUUGCUGGGCCUUCUGAAUCACGAACUGAGUCCUCCAUGGAACCCUAGGUCUGAUUUCAAGCCUCCAAACUUAAUAAGACAAAUAUUCACCUAUGAGAGACAUCCCAACCUAUGAGCUGAUAAACUUUAAUCUUUUAAUUGUUUUAAACUUUAAUUGUUUUCUUGAAAAAAAAAUUGAAGUAUACUGUGCUCUGGACUUGACAAUGCGCGUGGUCAGCCACACUCAGUGAGGCCUAAACACGGGAUUCAACAGAUGGAGGGAAAGCCCUUUAAAGCAAGAGUCCUACCCAGCGUUUCUGUCUUUCUUUCUGCCCACCCAGUUGCUCUUUUUACUUCACUCUAAAGAUUUCCUCUUUCUAAGAUUCCCUUCUGCUCUCUCCCUUCUUGAGGGAGGGCUCCUAUCUUUUCCAAGGAUCAUAGAUUCUUUACCUUCCAAGGAGUUUUUCGCUUUCUCCAGUUGCCCCAGGACCCACCUCC
RNAcentral lists this long non-coding RNA (1931 nucleotides) under Equus asinus (donkey). RNAcentral's name for it is "lncRNA (ENSEASG00005024313.1)". The record is from RNAcentral. Lineage: Eukaryota; Metazoa; Chordata; Mammalia; Perissodactyla; Equidae.